This 1644-nucleotide ribosomal RNA is filed under the name Ephydra riparia. Its description in RNAcentral is "eukaryotic LSU rRNA". It matches the Rfam family "Eukaryotic large subunit ribosomal RNA", at positions 1954 to 3346 of the family's 3401-position model. The record is from RNAcentral. Lineage: Eukaryota; Metazoa; Arthropoda; Insecta; Diptera; Ephydridae.
CUGAAGAUUGAGAUAGUCGGGCUUGAUUGGGAAACAAUAACAUGGUUUAUGUGCUCGUUCUGGGUAAAUAGAAAUCUUCGGAUUUUGUUCCCCGGAUAGUAGUUAUAUAGCCAAUUGUGGAACUUUCUUGCUAAUAUUAUAAAUAUUAUAUAUAUCUUUGAUAUAUUAUAAUUUUAUAAUUAUAACGAUUAUCAAUUAACAAUCAAUUCAGAACUGGCACGGACUUGGGGAAUCCGACUGUCUAAUUAAAACAAAGCAUUGUGAUGGCCCUAACGGGUGUUGACACAAUGUGAUUUCUGCCCAGUGCUCUGAAUGUCAACGUGAAGAAAUUCAAAUAAGCGCGGGUCAACGGCGGGAGUAACUAUGACUCUCUUAAGGUAGCCAAAUGCCUCGUCAUCUAAUUAGUGACGCGCAUGAAUGGAUUAACGAGAUUCCCUCUGUCCCUAUCUACUAUCUAGCGAAACCACAGCCAAGGGAACGGGCUUGGAAUAAUUAGCGGGGAAAGAAGACCCUAUUGAGCUUGACUCUAAUCUGGCAGUGUAAGGAAACAUAAGAGGUGUAGAAUAAGUGGGAGAUGUUUAACUUCGGUUUUUCAUCAACAAUGAAAUACCACUACUCUUAUUGUUUCCUUACUUACUUGAUUAAGUGGAACGUGUAUCAUUGCUUAGCCAUUAUACGGAUAUAUUUAUAUAUCUUAUGGUAUUGGGCUUUGAUGCAAGCUUCUUGAUCAAAAUAUCACGAGUUUGUUAUAUAAUUGUAAACAAAUUUUUAUAUAAAAUGAUUAGCAUUUCGGUGUUAAUUAUUUAUAAUUUUAAUUUGGUAUAACUCCAAUCACUCAGGUAUGAUCCAAUUCAAGGACAUUGCCAGGUGGGGAGUUUGACUGGGGCGGUACAUCUCUCAAAUAAUAACGGAGGUGUCCCAAGGCCAGCUCAGUGCGGACAGAAACCACACAUAGAGCAAAAGGGCAAAUGCUGACUUGAUCUCGGUGUUCAGUACACACAGAGACAGCAAAAGCUCGGCCUAUCGAUCCUUUUGGUUUAAAGAGUUUUUAACAAGAGGUGUCAGAAAAGUUACCAUAGGGAUAACUGGCUUGUGGCGGCCAAGCGUUCAUAGCGACGUCGCUUUUUGAUCCUUCGAUGUCGGCUCUUCCUAUCAUUGUGAAGCAAAAUUCACCAAGCGUUGGAUUGUUCACCCAUUCAAGGGAACGUGAGCUGGGUUUAGACCGUCGUGAGACAGGUUAGUUUUACCCUACUAAUGACAAAUGUUGUUACGACAGCAUUCCUGCGUAGUACGAGAGGAACCGCAGGUACGGACCAAUGGUACAAUACUUGUUCGAGAGAACAGUGGUAUUACGCUACGUCCGUUGGAUUAUGCCUGAACGCCUCUAAGGUCGUAUCCGUGCUGGACUGUAACAAUAAAUAUGGGGCAAUUGCUUUGUAUGGCUUCUAAACCAUUGAAAGUUUAUAAAUUUAUUUUAUAAACGAUGGAAAAUUGAUGCCAAUGUUAAAUAUAACAUAGCAAAUCAGGAGGAUUAAUAUCACCUGGUGCCGCGCUAGUUAUAUUAAAAAACAUUAUUUAAUACAAUGUCAAUGCCUAGAAUCAAUUGUAAACGACUUUUGUAACUAGCAAGUGUCGUAGUGUGAG